Molecule: ribosomal RNA, 2712 nt
Filed under: Klebsiella pneumoniae
Lineage: Bacteria; Pseudomonadati; Pseudomonadota; Gammaproteobacteria; Enterobacterales; Enterobacteriaceae
Description: bacterial LSU rRNA
Rfam family: Bacterial large subunit ribosomal RNA
Source: RNAcentral
CCGGCGAUGUCCGAAUGGGGAAACCCAGUGCAAUUCGUUGCACUAUCGUUAACUGAAUACAUAGGUUAACGAGGCGAACCGGGGGAACUGAAACAUCUAAGUACCCCGAGGAAAAGAAAUCAACCGAGAUUCCCCCAGUAGCGGCGAGCGAACGGGGAGCAGCCCAGAGUCUGAAUCAGCUUGUGUGUUAGUGGAACGGUCUGGAAAGUCCGACGGUACAGGGUGAUAGUCCCGUACACCAAAAUGCACAGGUUGUGAACUCGAAGAGUAGGGCGGGACACGUGGUAUCCUGUCUGAAUAUGGGGGGACCAUCCUCCAAGGCUAAAUACUCCUGACUGACCGAUAGUGAACCAGUACCGUGAGGGAAAGGCGAAAAGAACCCCGGCGAGGGGAGUGAAAAAGAACCUGAAACCGUGUACGUACAAGCAGUGGGAGCACCUUCGGGUGUGACUGCGUACCUUUUGUAUAAUGGGUCAGCGACUUAUAUUCUGUAGCAAGGUUAACCGUAUAGGGGAGCCGCAGGGAAACCGAGUCUUAACUGGGCGUUAAGUUGCAGGGUAUAGACCCGAAACCCGGUGAUCUAGCCAUGGGCAGGUUGAAGGUUGGGUAACACUAACUGGAGGACCGAACCGACUAAUGUUGAAAAAUUAGCGGAUGACUUGUGGCUGGGGGUGAAAGGCCAAUCAAACCGGGAGAUAGCUGGUUCUCCCCGAAAGCUAUUUAGGUAGCGCCUCGUGAAUUCAUCUUCGGGGGUAGAGCACUGUUUCGGCUAGGGGGUCAUCCCGACUUACCAACCCGAUGCAAACUACGAAUACCGAAGAAUGUUAUCACGGGAGACACACGGCGGGUGCUAACGUCCGUCGUGAAGAGGGAAACAACCCAGACCGCCAGCUAAGGUCCCAAAGUCAUGGUUAAGUGGGAAACGAUGUGGGAAGGCACAGACAGCCAGGAUGUUGGCUUAGAAGCAGCCAUCAUUUAAAGAAAGCGUAAUAGCUCACUGGUCGAGUCGGCCUGCGCGGAAGAUGUAACGGGGCUAAACCAUGCACCGAAGCUGCGGCAGCGACACUAUGUGUUGUUGGGUAGGGGAGCGUUCUGUAAGCCUGCGAAGGUGUGCUGUGAGGCAUGCUGGAGGUAUCAGAAGUGCGAAUGCUGACAUAAGUAACGAUAAAGCGGGUGAAAAGCCCGCUCGCCGGAAGACCAAGGGUUCCUGUCCAACGUUAAUCGGGGCAGGGUGAGUCGACCCCUAAGGCGAGGCCGAAAGGCGUAGUCGAUGGGAAACAGGUUAAUAUUCCUGUACUUGGUGUUACUGCGAAGGGGGGACGGAGAAGGCUAUGUUAGCCGGGCGACGGUUGUCCCGGUUUAAGCAUGUAGGCUGAUUGUCCAGGCAAAUCCGGAUAAUCAAGGCUGAGGUGUGAUGACGAGGCACUACGGUGCUGAAGUAACAAAUGCCCUGCUUCCAGGAAAAGCCUCUAAGCAUCAGGUAACAUCAAAUCGUACCCCAAACCGACACAGGUGGUCAGGUAGAGAAUACCAAGGCGCUUGAGAGAACUCGGGUGAAGGAACUAGGCAAAAUGGUGCCGUAACUUCGGGAGAAGGCACGCUGGUGUGUAGGUGAAGUCCCUGCGGAUGGAGCUGAGACCAGUCGAAGAUACCAGCUGGCUGCAACUGUUUAUUAAAAACACAGCACUGUGCAAACACGAAAGUGGACGUAUACGGUGUGACGCCUGCCCGGUGCCGGAAGGUUAAUUGAUGGGGUUAUCCGUAAGGAGAAGCUCUUGAUCGAAGCCCCGGUAAACGGCGGCCGUAACUAUAACGGUCCUAAGGUAGCGAAAUUCCUUGUCGGGUAAGUUCCGACCUGCACGAAUGGCGUAAUGAUGGCCAGGCUGUCUCCACCCGAGACUCAGUGAAAUUGAACUCGCUGUGAAGAUGCAGUGUACCCGCGGCAAGACGGAAAGACCCCGUGAACCUUUACUAUAGCUUGACACUGAACAUUGAGCCUUGAUGUGUAGGAUAGGUGGGAGGCUUUGAAGCGUGGACGCCAGUCUGCGUGGAGCCAACCUUGAAAUACCACCCUUUAAUGUUUGAUGUUCUAACGUUGGCCCCUUACCGGGGUUGCGGACAGUGUCUGGUGGGUAGUUUGACUGGGGCGGUCUCCUCCCAAAGCGUAACGGAGGAGCACGAAGGUUAGCUAAUCCUGGUCGGACAUCAGGAGGUUAGUGCAAUGGCAUAAGCUAGCUUGACUGCGAGCGUGACGGCGCGAGCAGGUGCGAAAGCAGGUCAUAGUGAUCCGGUGGUUCUGAAUGGAAGGGCCAUCGCUCAACGGAUAAAAGGUACUCCGGGGAUAACAGGCUGAUACCGCCCAAGAGUUCAUAUCGACGGCGGUGUUUGGCACCUCGAUGUCGGCUCAUCACAUCCUGGGGCUGAAGUAGGUCCCAAGGGUAUGGCUGUUCGCCAUUUAAAGUGGUACGCGAGCUGGGUUUAGAACGUCGUGAGACAGUUCGGUCCCUAUCUGCCGUGGGCGCUGGAGAAUUGAGGGGGGCUGCUCCUAGUACGAGAGGACCGGAGUGGACGCAUCACUGGUGUUCGGGUUGUCAUGCCAAUGGCACUGCCCGGUAGCUAAAUGCGGAAGAGAUAAGUGCUGAAAGCAUCUAAGCACGAAACUUGCCCCGAGAUGAGUUCUCCCUGAGACUUUAAGUCUCCUGAAGGAACGUU